RNAcentral lists this long non-coding RNA (1231 nucleotides) under Zea mays. Its description in RNAcentral is "long non-coding RNA (ZMAY_LNC001223)". The record is from RNAcentral. Lineage: Eukaryota; Viridiplantae; Streptophyta; Magnoliopsida; Poales; Poaceae.
AUAUAUAGUAUCUAAUAUACUGUGAAAGUACAAAAGGAAUAGAAAAAAUCGUUAUUUUAUAUAUAAUGAUUACAGUAAAACCGACAGGUAGGCUAGUACAAAAUUAACCACACAUAUUUCCCUGCUUUCUCCAUCAACGAUCUCUUCCAGACAACCCCUAUCAGUGAGUACAUCUGCGUCCCCCCUUAACUUCAAUUUCCUAAAAUUGUUGUGUUUCUUCUCAUGAUGAUUUUACAGGUACCUUGUUGAUUUUAAGUUCCAUUGCAAAGAGGAAGGAUGCUCGAUUUAGCCUUUGUAUACAUGUUGAUAGGAUGAUCGUUAAUAUAUAUAUGUUGUUAAAUGUGAUUCAUUGGCACUAGUUUUUGGUUCGCAUGAUAUUGGGCCUAUUUGUUUCGGCUUCUAGCCAGAUUCUGAGAUUCUGGCCGUGAGAAUCGACUUCUGGUAGCAAAACGUUUCGAUUCUCAGUACGCCCAUGUGAGAACGUGAAUAACACCUAAAUCGACGUAAAUAUAGAAUCCAACGAGUCUUCGCGACGAGAGGAGUCCACCACCUCCUAAACUCUAAACCAUACGGACCUCCUUAUCUGCCUCUACAUGUAAGCCUCAUGAUGUCCAGAUUCUCGUGACAACUAGAUUAUCUAGGAAUCUGGAUUCUUAGAAAUGCUCUUUAGAAAAAAAAAUAUGUACAAAAUAGGCCCUUGUUCUUGCAGACCUGAUCAUUUUACGUAUACUCCAUUAUUCUGAACGCGCGCCGGACUUGAUUAUUGCCUGUCAUCUUGUCAAGAUUAUUACGACGACGAUAUGGCUGCAACUGUAAUAGUAUAUCGUUAACAACGCAUAGUUAUAUGUAUAUAUGCGCAGACAUAAAAAUCCGGAGAAGAUCAUAUCACAUUGCAUCUAGCCGGUCAGAUUCAGGUACCCGGUUCCGUUUCCACGGCGGACAUGGAAUUCGGCCAUCCACUCCAUCUUUGAACCGGGAAUAUAAUAUAUUCAGGAACUGGAUGAAGGUUGUGACAGUGACAGAGAUCGGUUCCCGGACAAGCAGGGGGUUCCAUGGCCUUGAGCUGUCAGAUCAGUUUCUUUGCCGUGGGAUUAUUGGUGACACCCACACCGCAAUGGCGCGUGACGUCCACUCCCCACUCCCCACCGCGAACAUGGUGGAUUGGAUGGAUGCUCGGAAUAAUAUAGCUAGCGUGCCAUGGCCGCCCGUAGUUGCCGGAGCUCCGAUGCUU